AAGUCGUAACAAGGUUUCCGUAGGUGAACCUGCGGAAGGAUCAUUAACACAAAGUCACAGCUCAAACGCAAGGGCCGCGGGGGGUUCACGCCCCCUCUCAUGCUUUGAGCAUGUCACUUUUCAAACCCCCCUUUAUGUAAACUUUGUUUCUUGUAUUCCCGGGCCAAGUUGUUAUGUUAAAUAAUGAUUUGUGCCUGUUGGUUUCCAACCUUUUUAACCCCUUGAACUGUCUUGGACUGAAAUCUGAGUAAUGAAUUUUUAAAUAAAUUCCUUAUUCUGCCAUUAUAUCAAACGCUGAACAACUCUUAGCAACGGAUAUCUUGGCUCUC
This 329-nucleotide unclassified non-coding RNA is filed under the name fungal sp. RNAcentral describes it as "partial internal transcribed spacer region". The stretch from base 1 to 46 matches the Rfam family "Eukaryotic small subunit ribosomal RNA", at positions 1786 to 1831 of the family's 1831-position model. The record is from RNAcentral. Lineage: Eukaryota; Fungi.